CUUUAAUUUUGAAAGGUGCUUGCAUCUUGAUUUAAUUUUGAACGAGUGGCGGACGGGUGAGUAACACGUGGGUAACCUGCCCUUAAGUGGGGGAUAACAUUUGGAAACAGAUGCUAAUACCGCAUAAAUCCAAGAACCGCAUGGUUCUUGGCUGAAAGAUGGCGUAAGCUAUCGCUUUUGGAUGGACCCGCGGCGUAUUAGCUAGUUGGUGAGGUAACGGCUCACCAAGGCAAUGAUACGUAGCCGAACUGAGAGGUUGAUCGGCCACAUUGGGACUGAGACACGGCCCAAACUCCUACGGGAGGCAGCAGUAGGGAAUCUUCCACAAUGGACGCAAGUCUGAUGGAGCAACGCCGCGUGAGUGAAGAAGGCUUUCGGGUCGUAAAACUCUGUUGUUGGAGAAGAAUGGUCGGCAGAGUAACUGUUGUCGGCGUGACGGUAUCCAACCAGAAAGCCACGGCUAACUACGUGCCAGCAGCCGCGGUAAUACGUAGGUGGCAAGCGUUAUCCGGAUUUAUUGGGCGUAAAGCGAGCGCAGGCGGUUUUUUAAGUCUGAUGUGAAAGCCCUCGGCUUAACCGAGGAAGUGCAUCGGAAACUGGGAAACUUGAGUGCAGAAGAGGACAGUGGAACUCCAUGUGUAGCGGUGAAAUGCGUAGAUAUAUGGAAGAACACCAGUGGCGAAGGCGGCUGUCUGGUCUGUAACUGACGCUGAGGCUCGAAAGCAUGGGUAGCGAAACAGGAUUAGAUACCCUGGUAGUCCAUGCCGUAAACGAUGAAUGCUAGGUGUUGGAGGGUUUCCGCCCUUCAGUGCCGCAGCUAACGCAUUAAGCAUUCCGCCUGGGGAGUACGACCGCAAGGUUGAAACUCAAAGGAAUUGACGGGGGCCCGCACAAGCGGUGGAGCAUGUGGUUUAAUUCGAAGCAACGCGAAGAACCUUACCAGGUCUUGACAUCUUUUGAUCACCUGAGAGAUCAGGUUUCCCCUUCGGGGGCAAAAUGACAGGUGGUGCAUGGUUGUCGUCAGCUCGUGUCGUGAGAUGUUGGGUUAAGUCCCGCAACGAGCGCAACCCUUAUGACUAGUUGCCAGCAUUUAGUUGGGCACUCUAGUAAGACUGCCGGUGACAAACCGGAGGAAGGUGGGGAUGACGUCAAAUCAUCAUGCCCCUUAUGACCUGGGCUACACACGUGCUACAAUGGAUGGUACAACGAGUUGCGAGACCGCGAGGUCAAGCUAAUCUCUUAAAGCCAUUCUCAGUUCGGACUGUAGGCUGCAACUCGCCUACACGAAGUCGGAAUCGCUAGUAAUCGCGGAUCAGCACGCCGCGGUGAAUACGUUCCCGGGCCUUGUACACACCGCCCGUCACACCAUGAGAGUUUGUAACACCCGAAGCCGGUGGCGUAACCCUUUUAGGGAGCGAGCCGUCUAAGGGGGGGA
RNAcentral lists this ribosomal RNA (1435 nucleotides) under Lacticaseibacillus rhamnosus. RNAcentral describes it as "bacterial SSU rRNA". It matches the Rfam family "Bacterial small subunit ribosomal RNA". Lineage: Bacteria; Bacillati; Bacillota; Bacilli; Lactobacillales; Lactobacillaceae. The record is from RNAcentral.